This is a long non-coding RNA of Acinonyx jubatus (cheetah), 3802 nucleotides long. RefSeq lists it as uncharacterized. The record is from RefSeq and is a predicted model, not a curated record. NCBI's taxonomy places the organism in Eukaryota, Metazoa, Chordata, Mammalia, Carnivora, Felidae. The transcript has 2 exons.
CACAAUCAGUUUCUCUCCUUUUCCCAGUCAGUGGUUUUGAGGAAGAGUUUUUCUUGUGCAAUCUCCUGCAUGCUGCCUUCUGUCUUUGUCUCUCUCCCUUUCUCCCUCUUUCCUCUUUCCCUGAUCAGCCUCCCCACCCCGCAGCACCCUCAAUUCUUUUCUCUCCCUCAAAUCAACUCUCUGUAGUAUCUCCCUCCAUGAUGUAGCCACUUUUCUCCCUCUAGGUGUGCAACUUGUUCUUUCAGUCCUCAUAUUAAUUUCUUGGGUGUUCAGGAUGAUUUGAUAUUUAUCUAGCUGUGUUCAAGGGACAAGGAAAGCAUAGGGUCCCUCUACUAUUCUGCCAUCUUAACUCCUCCUCGACUAUCUUCUGUAAACAGUGAGCUAUGAUAGGUGUUAUGGGAAAUAUGAGAGAAUUCCUGUCCAGUAGAACUUUCUGCAAUGAUGAAAAUAUUCUAAACGUGUUAUUAAAAAUCAUGGAGACAAAAUAUAAUGUGAAGACAGAAUGUGGGAUAAAGAGGAAUAAUAGCUUUAUUGCUUUGCGGGCAAAGGAGGGUGUAGUGGGCUAAGGCCUUCAGAAACUGCAAGCCUGCCGGGAGGAAAGGGGUGGGAGGUUUUGUAAGGAAAUACAGGAUCUACGGGCCCCCGGGUGGCUCAGUUGGUUGAGCAUCCAACGUCAGCUCAGGUCAUGAUCUCACUCACAGUUCGUGAGUUCAAGGCCCCUGUCAGGUUCUGUGCUGACAGCUCAGAGCCUGGAGCCUGCUUUGGAUUCUGUGUCUCCCUCUCUCUCUGCUCCUCCCCCACUCACACUCUCUCUCUCAAAAAUGAAUAAACAUUUAAAAACUUUUUAAAGAUAAGGAAAUACAGGAUUUAGCCAGUUUUGACAGGAAUUGUGUAGGCACUGCCAGCUUUGUUCAUCAUGUCUUUAGGGUGGUACCGGGUUCCGGAAACAAAAGGCUAAGAAGGGAGGAGGGGAGGUUUGCAGAAGAGAGGAAAAAGAUUACUUUAAAAUCGAGUUUGGCUAAAGUAUUAGUGCAGCCAUUUUGAUUUUGGUUCAACUUUAUGCUUUUAAGCAUUUUCAAAGGUUCAGUUUCAUUUUUGAGAGACAGAGCACGAGCAGGGGAGGAGCAGCGAGAGAGAGAGAGAGAGAGAGAGAGAGAGAGAGAGAAUCCAAAGCAGGAUCCAGGUUCAGAGCUGUCAGCACAGAGCCCGAUGCGGGGCUUGAACCCACAAACUGGGAGAUCAUGACCUGAGCUAAAGUCGGACACUCAACCGACUGAGCCACCCAGGCACCCCGGUUUCCAAUAUAAUAGCAACUAACCACAUGUAGGCAAUGAACAUUUGAAAUCCAGGCAAUAAAACCGAGGAAAUAAAUUUUUAAUUUUACCUAUGGUUAACUUAUUUUAAUUUAAUGUUAAUUUUUAAAAAAAACCUAAAUAUUUGAACUUUAAUAGCUACUGGCUUGGGCAGUGCAGCUCUGACACCAAAGUAGCUACUCCUAUUUUGCAGGAAUUUAGACUCCAAAGGGAUGAUGUCAUAGAGUGGGUAGCCAACAGGAGGCGAGCUUGAGAACAAUUACAAACUAUUGCAUAAAAUUCAAAAUUAUAGAAAAUACAUCUAAACAUUGAGAUCAUCUAAUGAAGUGAUCUGUGUGGGAUGAGGUUAAUGGAAAGAAAGCAUUCAGAGAAAAUAGGAUUUCAGGAACUGUUAUGGUGGAGAAAGGAAGAGCAGAGGCAAGUGAAAGAAAAAGGACCAUUUGGAGGAAUAGAAAACCUGUGUGUUGGAAUGUCUAAUGGAGAGCCAAAGCAAUCUCGCCAUUGUGGAGUCCAGAGCACCCAGGAUGACUUCUGAAUCUCUUUUGCUGCCCUAGUUUCCCUAAAAGAUUCCUUGGCAAACCAUGUGAAUGAAAGCAUGAUCAUUAGAAAAAGGGCAUUUUAAAUCUCUGGUCUUUUUCAAAUUAAAAACAUACAAGGGACACCUGGCUGGUUUAGUCGGUUGAGCAUCCAACUUUGGCUCAGCUCAUGAUCUCACAGUUUGUGAGUUCAAGCCUCACAUCGGGCUCGCUGCUGUCCAUGUAGAGCCUUCUUCGAAUCAUCUACUGAGCCUCUCUCUGCCCUCCGUCUCUAUCUGCCCCUUAACCCCCCCCCCCUCAGAAAUUAAUAAACAUUAAAAAAAAUAAAAAUAAAACAUACAAAACACUUUUCUUUAGCCAUAUAGUUAAAUUUGAUUAUUCAGGGACAUAGGGAUAAAAAUUGGGAUAACCAAACCAAGAAAUAGGGAAAAGAAUAGAGGAAACAAUGGCAAAGUUCAUUUUUAAAAAUCAGAGUAAAAUUGAAAGAAUUAAAAUCAAGUAUGCCCGUUUUUACACUAAUUAUGAAUGGAUUGAUUCCCCAUUAAAGUCAGACACUGAAUGAGCUUAAAAAAAAUAGACUGCCUUUAGGGCACGUGGGUGGCUCAGUGGGUUAAGCGUCUGACUUCGGCUCAGGUCAUGAUCUCACAGUCUGUGAGUUCGAGCCCCCAGUCGGGCUCUGUGCUGACAACUCAGAGCCUGGAGCCUGCUUCAGAUUCUGUGUCUCCCUCUCUCUCUGACCGUCCCCUGCUCACACUCUGUCUGUCUUUGUCUCAAAAAUAAGUAAAAAAAAAAAAAUAAUAAUAAUAAUAAUAAAAGACAAGAAAAAAAGAGACUGUGCUUAAUGCUAUUUACAAGAAACACUUGACACACGAUGAUAAAAAGAAAAUAGGAUAGUAACUGAAAUCUGUAAAUUAUCUCAAAAUCCACAUUUGUUCAUGAUUUUAACUGCUUUCUUCCAUCAGUCUUCUUGCCUCAAUUGAAGAUAGAAAAGUCAAAUUGGCAGCUUGAAGUAUCCUCAGUAUUUAUGGACAACACAAUUCUCCGACAGAAAUAUAAGUAACGAAUUUAUCUUAAAGCAAGUUGUAUCUGUCAGGGUCCAGUCAGGAAAACAGAAAUUGCAACAACAGAGACAAGUAAUUAUGAGAAACUGGGUACACAAGUGUUAGAGACACCGUGAGGUGACACAAAGACAGCAAGUGCAGGAAACAGCCACAACUCCCUCAUUUGGGGGGAACAAAAGGAAAGUUGAGUCUGCCAGAAUCUAGAAGUCAGUACCCUAACUUGCCAUACCUGAAGCCUAGAGACUCUUGAACGAUUGCCAUGUUAUGUCAGCAAGGAGAUACAUAGUAGGCAUGCUACUACAGGAAACUUCCCUUUGUUUCUUACUGCAGGCCUCUCCUUAACCCUGUUUCCUGGUGAAGACGAUACUCCAUAUGGAAGUACAGGGUCUCCUUUUUCUAAAGAAGGUAACUCUAAGUCCUACAACCCUACUAGUUGGCCAAAUGGCCUCCUUGACACCAUUAUGUUAGGACAACACCAGAAGUUUAGGGGUGGCAAAUAGGAUCAUGCCAGUGGCAAAACAAACAAACAAGCUAACCCAAGGAAGAAAAGAAAAAACAAAGGGUGGACUUGGGCUUCUUCUAUAGCCUAGAGCAGAGUUGAUCUUGAUCAUUGUAGAAAUCAGCAAUUACAACCUUCUAAGACAUGGUAUAUUCUCCCAGGAGAAGACACUUCUUCUGAAUUCCAGAUAAUAGAAAACAGCUUCUAUCAAUGCAAAUUAAGAAGGGAAGAUGUCACUUUAUAGAAGGAUGAAAACUUCUACUCAAGUCAUUUUUUGACCCUCCAGUCGAAAGAGCUUCACUAGAAACGGGGCUUCUCUAAUUACUGAGAGAACAUCUGGAAAGAUAAUUCAAAACCGGAGCUGUCAAAAUAUAACUGCUGAUGUGUGCAUCA